UUGGUCGUUGCUGUUGUUAUUACUGUAUUUUUCUGUGAUAAAUAUUCCAUUUAGUUCUUUAUAUUUUAUCUCUCUUCCUAUUUUUUAAUUUGUUUCAAGAGUAUUUGUCAUUGCUCUUUGAAGCAUUUUAAUGGUGGUUGCUUUAAAAUGUUUGUCAGAUAAUUCUAACAUCUCUGUCAUCUUGGUGUUAGCAUUUAUUCAUUGGCUUACUUCAUUCGUUUGAGGUCGUCCUGGUUCUUGGUAUGAUGAGCAAUUUUCUACUGAAAGCUUGACAUUUGGGGUAUUAUGUUUUGAGACUCUGUAUCUUAUUUCGAUCUGUUUUCACUGGCUUCCUCUGACAUUGUGGGUGAAGGUGUGGGGGGGGGGAGUGGCAGUGAGCUCUCUCAUUACUGCCAUGUGGGGUGGAAGUCCAGGUCCCUCACUUGACCUCUGUUGACACCCAAGGAAGGGGUCUCCUUCUUACUGCUGGGUAUGGGUAGAAGUGCUAGGCUUCCACUGAUAGCUACCCCAUGUGGUGGUGUCAGAGUGCCUCGAUGCUAUUCCUCACGUGGCCUUGUUACCCCUGUGAGGUUAAAAGGGUCCUGACUCCCCACUAGUUCUCCCAGAUACCACCCUUGCUCCUUGUUACUGCUGUGUGGGGACGAAAGUCCAGCCUCCCCGCGUGGUCUCCACUGUUACUGGGGAGGAGCUUGUGACCACUGAGUGGGGAUGAAAGUUUCAGCUCCCUGCUCAGCCUUCUCAGACCCCACCCUGGGGUGGGAGGCAGGCAGGGUGGGGCAGGGUGGUUGCGGCAUGUUGCAGCCUGGUGAUGAUGGUGGACGUCAGGGCUCCCCUUGGCCUUUGCUGAUGAAGAUAAAAGUUGUACAUAUGGGCUUCCCUCGUGGCGCAGUGGCUGAGAGUCCGCCUGCCGAUGCAGGGGACGCGGGUUCGUGCCCCGGUCCGGGAGGAUCCCACAUGCCGCGGGGCGGCUGGACCCGUGAGCAAUGGCCUCUGGGCCUGCGUGUCCAGAACCUGUGCUCCGCAACGGGAGAGGCCACAACAGUGAGAGGCCCGCGUACCGCAGAGGAAAAAACAAAAAAAAGUUGUACAUACAUUAAAAUGCACAAAUCUUAAGUGGACCGCUUGAUGAGUAAAACCCACCCUCUAUCAAGAUAUAGGGUCUGGUCCAUCACCUGAGAAAUUCCCUCGUCCUCCUUCCCAGUCAAUCCCUGUCCUCAGCCACCCCCCAGAGACAAACAUUGUUUUGCUUUUUAGCAUCCUAGGUUGUUUUGUUUGUUCUAGAAUUCAUGUGAAUGGAAACAUGCAUCAGACACUC
This is a long non-coding RNA of Orcinus orca (killer whale), 1315 nucleotides long. RefSeq lists it as uncharacterized. The record is from RefSeq and is a predicted model, not a curated record. The transcript has 2 exons. Lineage: Eukaryota; Metazoa; Chordata; Mammalia; Artiodactyla; Delphinidae.